Molecule: ribosomal RNA, 783 nt
Filed under: Lodderomyces metapsilosis
Lineage: Eukaryota; Fungi; Ascomycota; Pichiomycetes; Serinales; Debaryomycetaceae
Description: LSU rRNA
Rfam family: Eukaryotic large subunit ribosomal RNA
Source: RNAcentral
GCGGCAAAAGCUCAAAUUUGAAAUCUGGCACUUUCAGUGUCCGAGUUGUAAUUUGAAGAAGGUAUCUUUGGGUCUGGCUCUUGUCUAUGUUUCUUGGAACAGAACGUCACAGAGGGUGAGAAUCCCGUGCGAUGAGAUGACCCAGACCUAUGUAAAGUUCCUUCGAAGAGUCGAGUUGUUUGGGAAUGCAGCUCUAAGUGGGUGGUAAAUUCCAUCUAAAGCUAAAUAUUGGCGAGAGACCGAUAGCGAACAAGUACAGUGAUGGAAAGAUGAAAAGAACUUUGAAAAGAGAGUGAAAAAGUACGUGAAAUUGUUGAAAGGGAAGGGCUUGAGAUCAGACUUGGUAUUUUGUAUGUUACUCUUUCGGGGGUGGCCUCUACAGUUUACCGGGCCAGCAUCAGUUUGGGCGGUAGGAGAAUUGCAAAGAAAUGUGGCACUGCUUCGGUAGUGUGUUAUAGUCUUUGUCGAUACUGCCAGCCUAGACUGAGGACUGCGGCUUCGGCCUAGGAUGUUGGCAUAAUGAUCUUAAGUCGCCCGUCUUGAAACACGGACCAAGGAGUCUAACGUCUAUGCAAGUGUUUGGGUGUAAAACCCGUACGCGUAAUGAAAGUGAACGUAGGUAGGACCUCCUUUAGGAGUGCACUAUCGACCGAUCCUGAUGUCUUCGGAUGGAUUUGAGUAAGAGCAUAGCUGUUGGGACCCGAAAGAUGGUGAACUAUGCCUGAAUAGGGUGAAGCCAGAGGAAACUCUGGUGGAGGCUCGUAGCGGUUCUGACGUGCAAAU